RNAcentral lists this transfer RNA (68 nucleotides) under Lemniscomys striatus (typical striped grass mouse). RNAcentral describes it as "tRNA-His". It matches the Rfam family "tRNA". From Rfam's summary of the family: Transfer RNA (tRNA) molecules are approximately 80 nucleotides in length. Their secondary structure includes four short double-helical elements and three loops (D, anti-codon, and T loops). Lineage: Eukaryota; Metazoa; Chordata; Mammalia; Rodentia; Muridae. The record is from RNAcentral.
GUAAAUAUAGUUUAAAUAAAACAUUAGACUGUGAAUCUAAAAAUAGGUAAUGAACCCCCUUAUUUACC